AACGCAUAUUGCGCCCAUUGGUAUUCCGAUGGGCAUGCCUGUUCGAGCGUCAUUUCAACCCUCAAGCUUACUGUUUGCUUGGCGUUGGGGCUGCUGUAACGUAUAGAUACAGGCCCUGAAAGAACUUGGCGGAAUUUUUAUAAGCCCGAACGUAGUAAUUAAUUCUCGUUCUAGGAACUAUAAAAGUUCUUUUGACCAUUAAACAUUUAUAAUUUUUAGAAAGUUGACCUCGGAUCAGGUAGGAAUACCCGCUGAACUUAA
This 261-nucleotide unclassified non-coding RNA is filed under the name uncultured fungus. Its description in RNAcentral is "sequence contains ITS2". The stretch from base 1 to 52 matches the Rfam family "5.8S ribosomal RNA", at positions 103 to 154 of the family's 154-position model. The record is from RNAcentral. Lineage: Eukaryota; Fungi.